UACGUAGGUCCCGAGCGUUGUCCGGGUUUAUUGGGCGUAAAGCGAGCGCAGGUGGUUUAUUAAGUCUGGUGUAAAAGGCAGUGGCUCAACCAUUGUAUGCAUUGGAAACUGGUAGACUUGAGUGCAGGAGAGGAGAGUGGAAUUCCAUGUGUAGCGGUGAAAUGCGUAGAUAUAUGGAGGAACACCGGUGGCGGAAGCGGCUCUCUGGCCUGUAACUGACACUGAGGCUCGAAAGCGUGGGGAGCAAACAGG
RNAcentral lists this ribosomal RNA (252 nucleotides) under uncultured bacterium. RNAcentral's name for it is "partial 16S ribosomal RNA". It matches the Rfam family "Bacterial small subunit ribosomal RNA", at positions 524 to 776 of the family's 1533-position model. The record is from RNAcentral.